CUGCCACCCAAGGGGAGAUGUAGAGGAGACAUUCUCUUUCAGAAACUUCCAGGGCUGAAGGAUGGGGCAGAAGGAGGAGGGGAGGAACCCAUCUGGAUCUCUUUAGCCUCUGGAACCUGAAGCACUCAGGAAAGAAGGCCUGGCCCUUUGAAGCUGCCCCUGCCAGGCCCCACAAUGGGCCAGCCCUGCCAGCCCUCCUGCACAGGCCCUGAGGCAUCUUGGCAGCAGCAUCCCCG
RNAcentral lists this long non-coding RNA (236 nucleotides) under Homo sapiens (human). RNAcentral describes it as "long non-coding RNA NONHSAT197180". The record is from RNAcentral. Lineage: Eukaryota; Metazoa; Chordata; Mammalia; Primates; Hominidae.